UGUCGCGGAGCUUGUCGGAGUUGCGGGCGACGAGGAUGAGGCUGAGGCCCGCAGCGACGAGCGGACGGUGAAGGUGCAGCCGAUUCAAAGAAGAUGAGGAAAAGGAAAAGGAAGAAGAAGGAGGAGAAAAGGAGGGGGAAAAGGAGGAUACGAAGAAGAAGAAGAAGAAGAAGAAGAGGAAGAAGAAGAAGAAGAAAAAGAAGAGGACGGGGAAGAAGAAGAAGAGGAAAAGGAAGAGGAAGAGGAAGAAGAAGAUGGGUAAAAUUGUCAAUUUAUCUUAUUAAUUAACCAUGGUUAAGUAUUUUAACCGUGGUUAACUAAAUUUCUUUAACGGAUCCUAACGGCAGGGACAUAUCUGAAUACAUUAGGACUUUUGUAGAGAUAAAUUAUGAAAGUUGAAUUUUGCAGAGAUAUCUGCAAUUCACCAUGUUUGCAGGGACCUAUAUGCAAUUAACCCUAAAAUCUAUGUCGAAAUCAAAGACAAAAAAGAUAUUCUUUAAACAACCAUAACCAUAAAUCUAAGGCUUAAUUAAAAAAAAAAUCCUGUAUUUUACCUCAUGUUUCAAUUAUUCCUCUACAUAAAAAAU
RNAcentral lists this long non-coding RNA (587 nucleotides) under Ananas comosus (pineapple). RNAcentral's name for it is "long non-coding RNA (ACOM_LNC029212)". Lineage: Eukaryota; Viridiplantae; Streptophyta; Magnoliopsida; Poales; Bromeliaceae. The record is from RNAcentral.